ACGUGGAUAACCUGCCCUAAGGAAGGGGAUACCCCCGGGAAACUGGGGAUAAUACCCUAUAGGUUACAGAUACUGGAAUGCUCUGUACCCGAAAGUUCCGGCGCCUUAGGAUGGAUCUGCGGCCGAUUAGGUUGUUGUCGGGGUAACGGCCCAACAAGCCAGUAAUCGGUACGGGUUGUGGGAGCAAGAGCCCGGAGUUGGAUUCUGAGACACGAAUCCAGGCCCUACGGGGCGCAGCAGGCGCGAAAACUUUACAAUGCGGGCAACCGUGAUAAGGGAACCUCGAGUGCCUGUAUAUGCAGGCUGUCUGGGUGUCUAAAACACACCUAAAGAAAGGGCCGGGCAAGACCGGUGCCAGCCGCCGCGGUAAUACCGGCGGCUCGAGUGGUGGCCACUUUUAUUGGGCUUAAAGCGUUCGUAGCUGGGUUAUUAAGUCCCUUGGGAAAUCCGACGGCUUAACCGUCGGGCGUCUAAGGGAUACUGGCAAUCUUGGAACCGGGAGAGGUGAGGGGUACUUCGGGGGUAGGAGUGAAAUCCUGUAAUCCUCGA
RNAcentral lists this ribosomal RNA (549 nucleotides) under uncultured archaeon. RNAcentral describes it as "bacterial SSU rRNA". It matches the Rfam family "Archaeal small subunit ribosomal RNA", at positions 98 to 652 of the family's 1478-position model. The record is from RNAcentral.